RNAcentral lists this long non-coding RNA (214 nucleotides) under Elaeis guineensis (African oil palm). Its description in RNAcentral is "long non-coding RNA (EGUI_LNC020159)". The record is from RNAcentral. Lineage: Eukaryota; Viridiplantae; Streptophyta; Magnoliopsida; Arecales; Arecaceae.
AUAGAUAAAGGCAUUAAGUUAAUGCUAGCACCUAAAUCGCACAAUGCUUUAGUGAAUUUGAUAUUGCCAAUAUUGCAUGGAAUUGUAAAACUCCCUGGAUCCUUUAAUUUUGAUGGCAACUUGUUCUGAAUGAUUGCACUGCACUCUUCGGUGAGCAUGACUAUCUCAUGGUCCUCUAGCCUUCUCUUUUUGGAAAGGAUGUCCUUCAAGAAUU